GAGUAAUCUUACUUAUUACUCCAUUUUGAUGUUGAACUUUUUUUAUUUGUGAAUUGGUCCUUUAAAUUUUUAAUGUUUUUAUUUCUUACUUAAAUAAUAUUUUAAAACGAUACAAUAACAUAAAUAAACAAGAUAUUCCAUUAUUUAAUAAUUUUACAUAAAAAUAUAUACUAUAAUCAAAAAAUAAUAAUAUAAAAUAAAGAUAACAUAAAAGGAUCUAUAGUUGUGUUUCGCUAUUGUGAAAAGACAUGUUUGGUUCUGGAAAAAAAAUUUGCUACAUGACAUCAAGACUACAUGUAUAAUUUUACAUAACAUGAUAAUUAAGGAUGAACGUGAAUUUGAUGCACCAACUAAACUUGGAAGAGAAGCUACACUUCCAUAUAUCAAAAUUACAUAAGAUGAAAAUGUAUGAUUUCAAAAUUUUCUUCGAUUUAGGAAUAUCAAAGAUAAAGAAGCUUAUGUUUCAUUACGAAAUGUAUUAGUUGAUCAUUGUGGGAAAAAUAUUCUAAUGCCACUAUUAAACCAACUUAUAUACUGUCUUUUAUUUUAUUUUUAUGAUUUUUUGUAUUUUUUAAUAAUAACUGUUUAAUUUUAAAUAAUUUUUUAAGGAAUUUUUGUAAACAUAAAUUAGUUGGGGUUAAUUAGUAAUUUUUUAUAAAUAUAAAGUAAUAUUAACAAUUAUUAAUAAAAUAUAUUAUUUUUGGAGUAGAAAAUAGAGUAAUACAUUGGAGUAAAACUUUACUUCAUUUUGGUGUUGCACCAUUUUAGAGUAAAAUAUGGAGUAAUACAUUGGAGAUGCUCUAAGACCACCGUUGUCAACAAAAAAAAAAGCAAAAAAAAGAUGUCUAAAACCACCAUAUCAUAAAAGCUUUAAACAUUGAUAUGAUGACUCUAAAUAUAGUGAAUGUUUGUGUGGCAUUUGAUUCACCAUUAAACAAUAAAAGUACAUUGUUUUAAAAAUAUUGUAAAUCGCACCUCUAAAAAUAUCUAGCUGUAUACAUGUUCACUCUAAAUAUUUCAUUUAUAAGAUUUUUAGACCAUAAUAUCUAGCUGGAAAGUAUGCUUCAGCAUUCAAACUGUCAAAAUUUUAGAACAGAUUGCAAGGACCUGAUUACGAUGAUAAAAGACUCCAAAGCAUGGCCAAACUUUUCAACGGAGCUGGAAGUCAUUCAAAUCAUCCUGAUGUGUUAUUCGGAUUUCAAGAUCAUCUACGUGCCAAGAACGCAGAAUGAGAUUGAUGAUUCUUUAGUUAGGAAUGUUCGAUCUUUUCACAGAUUACUUUGUUUUAUUGUUUGUUUUAUUCCAGUCUGGUUACCCAGACCACCUCAUGUUUGAGUAAUAGAAUAGCCGUUUGUUGCCAAAAAAAAAAACAGAUUUUGAAAUCCGGAUUUGAUCAACAAUUUUACCAUUUUAAUUUUACCUUUUAAUUAACGUAUAAUAUAAGCGCAUUUAAACACACAAGAAAAACUUUCCAGCUUAAAUGACGCAGAUCGGUGACCCAACAAAAAACGAAAGAGGUCCACAGAGCAUUUUAAACACCAGUCAAAAGCUUUUGUUGACAUAUAAUAUAUACUAUCAAUCAUCAUAUGUGUAUAAUGUAUUACACCGCGAAACCCCAUCUUCUUAUAAAUUUCGUUUUGCCAAGUUUACUUUAUCACAUAUCGGAAUCAACUUUUGUUUUUAUUAAUAUACAUACUAGUAUUAUUUUGUUAUAAGAGCAAUUAAUGUUGGUUGGUGGAGACAAAGAGGAUCUUGGAGAUAAAUAUGGUAAAGAAGUAAGUAGUAAUAGAAGGUGACUUCACGCGUGUGCCAAGGAGAUGUUUGUUGUCCUCUGGGGGACACAUUUUAGCCUAAAUUAAGAUGCUCUUAAGUGACCAAGUCAGGACCACCUAAGCGGGAAGAUAGUCUUAAUUCGAACAAUGGAGUGUUGUUUAUUUUGGAGAGUUAGAAUUGCAUGUGUCAAAAACUGGCUUCGACCCUUGGCUCAAGAAAAUAUAUAUGUUUCAGAGGGGUUUGAAAAGACCAAUUACAAGAUACCUUUACACAAAAAGAUAAUAGACACGAAAAACGAUCAGAAGAUGUUAACAAUUACAGUACAUAUUUCGUCCACUCAACUUCGAGUCUAAAGAGAAGUACACAUUACUCGUCUGUUCUUAACCACGUUCUAACUAUCCGCAUGCAGCGACGUAGACGGAGAUUAUAGUGUAAUGGUGUAAUUACAAUAUAUUCCCGUAGUAUUUGUUCUUAAACAAAAGAAAUAAAGUCCUAGUCUUGUUAAGAACACAAAAAGUAGAUUUGAAAUAUGUUCUAUAAGCACAUAAUGGUAUGCAUUUAUUACUAUAUAUUUAGAUACACUGAUACAUGCAAUGAUGGAGUACGGCGGAUCCCUGUAAAAAAGAAUCUAAAAAGAUGAUAGUAACAAGCUGGCAAGGUGGAAAACUUGACACAAUAAUUUUGGUUCAGAAAAAAUAAUAAAUAACACCAUCAGAAUUCAGUACCGGAAUAUGGAUAAUAAGUUCCUUACUAUUAUAAUUGAUUUCCAACAACAAUUUUUAGACCAUAACAUAACAUUUUACUAAUUUAGUAAAUAAGUUGACCCAACAACAUUAUAUGUUUACAAACUUACAAUUGCUAACUUUGAUCAAUAAUAUUUAAAUCAUUCAAAAUGGACAUCCAAAUAAUCGAUUUGACAAAGAAAAAAAUAAUAUAUAUAUAUAUAUAUAUAUUAUUUUUUGUGAAAUCUCGGAUAAUCUCUAAAAUAUGUGAAUCUUAGUCUUAUUUUUGGCAUAUGGCAAAAUUAGAUGUUUGAUGGGUCUACCAUGUUGCUUGUUGUGUGUUCAAAGUGCAUAAAGCUAUAAAAUCCACUCUGUUUCUCAGUGUCUUUGUGAAAAGAAAAACAACUUCACGUGAACGAUGUGAACAUUUUUCUUGUUUUCAUAUAACUAUAGAAUCUUUUGACUUUAAUAGAUUAUAAAGUCUUAAAGAUGAACUAAACAAAAUCUCAAAUUUAUGCAAAACCACGACUUAUCUAUUUGUCUAUUAGUUUUUAAGACAAUCAAACAUGUCUGCCCAGAUGGGUUAUGUUUAAAAACAUGGUUCUUGUGAAUCCAAUUCCGAUUUUAGUUGCCUCAAAAGAAUGAGAUUCAUCAUGACAAUGGGUCACCUGAUAACAUAUAAAAAAUGCCCUUUUAUUUUUCAGAUUCAGGCUAUUGAGGGUCCAGAAACCAAAGAUUUUCCCAGCUAGAAAAUAGAUCAACAUUAUGCAUUACUCUUUAAAACACAUUUUCACUUUCUUUACAUCCUAAAGCACAUCUUGCUUGUUGGGCACUUUUACGGACUCCAAAAGACUAUUUGGACAAAAUUUCCCUCCUGUCUAACCAAAAAAAAAAGAAAAAUCAAAUAUUGUUGGGUUUGUUGAUAGUUAGGAUAAAUAGUUAGCUAAAAGAGACAAUCAAAAUAUGGUUGAGGUUUGUUUUACUUCUUGAAAAAAGAAAUAUAGAGACCCAACCAGAAAACAAAAAAAUAGUUUAGUUAGAUAUUUCUUAUGUCAUUAUUUUUCAUCCCCUUGUUUUUAUAUUAGCUUUUUCUCAAAAUUGAUGUUAAUUUGAAUAUAAUAUUUAUAAUAAAUUACAGAUCUUUUUCUCUAUAUUUUAACUUGCAUUUUCGUAUAUAUAUUUUAUAUAUUUAACAUUUAUAAAAAAUAAAUGUAUCCAUGUUGAAAAGUGUGAACGAACAAAAUGCGGACAUAUAUAAAGGAAAAACAAUGUUGAAAAAAUGUAGAUUUGGAACGUGAAAUAAUUUGUCUUUGGUAAAUUCACAGCAAAUAGCUGAGUUGGUACCUAAAAUAAAAUCAGCAAAAAGUGAGUUCAUAUGUGGAUAGUAUGAUAAAUAUUAAUAUUGUAGAUAUGAACGGAAAAACUAUGACGGACGAGUUGUGGAUAUCAGAUUUGUAGACAUAUAUUUUGUUAUUUUAAUGAGUAAGUUAACUCUUUUGUAUCAUAAAUAAGUUGUGGAUAUCAGAUUUGUGGAUAUAUAUCUUGCUACUUUACCGAGUAAAUUAGUGUUUUUGUUUUAGUUUUGCCCUUGGAUGAGAGGGUUGUGUACAUGAUUUCGUGGACAAAAUUUCUAAAAAAAAAGAUUGAUAAUGAUAACUAAUUUAAUCUAAGUUAAAGGGAAAAGAAAACAAAAUCUAAAAGUUUUCUAUGUUGGUAACUGAUAUCUCUCACUAUUUUAGUGAGUUUUAUCAAUUAUUUUAGCUUAUUUAGAUCAUUUUAGAAUGUAUUUAGAAAUUUUGAAUGCAUAUAUUUGUUGUUCAUUUGUAUUUGAAAAUUUUGUAGUGCACAAUUAGAAGUUUGGGGGUGUAAAUCAAGAAGAUUGUUCCAGACCUGGGACUUCAUUAUCACCUUGUGCUAAUAAGAAAAUCAGGAUGAAUUUGCUUACAUAUGUCUUGUGUUCACCAGGUUUUUGAUCUUAUGAGAAAACUCGGUUGCGGCUGAGAAAUCACAGAAUGAAGCUGUUCAAGGACAUUGUGAGUAACUUCUUGGAGAAUUGGUUAAUGCCUACAUAUUAUGGAGUAUGUAUUGUUACUAUUGUACAAGAUCUCUUAAAGUUACCAUAUAAAUUUAAGAGAUCUUGUACAAUACCUAUUUUUAUUGAUAAAUCACACAUUCUUUUUGUGUGCAUUAUUUACAUUUUAUGUAUUCAAAAAAUUGAUUUUUGAUGAACAUUAACAAUGAAACUCUCCAUUUCUUAUAUCUAUUUGUGAUUUUUAUUAAUUUAUAUGUUGCUAUUUUAGUUGUGAUUAGUUGUGAUAUGUCAUUACCCAUAAUUCCUUAUAUAAAAGACUAAGAGUUGCGAUAAUUGACAACCAAACAUUGCUGGUUAAAAUGACUAACACCAAAAAUUGCAAAAACUCAUUACUAAAUGCUAUAAUUACCAAUAAUUACAGGUUUAUAACAAAUGAUUGCAAUAUCCCAUCACCAAAAGAUGCAAUCACGAACAAUUGCUUUGUUUCAUUUAAUCAGUUGCAGUUUUUCAUUUAGGUAAAUGUAGUAGUUCACUUAAAUGAUUUAAAAGAGUCACUUAAAAUCUCUGAGAAUUUUUUUCGUUUAAGUGUGUAAUUAAAGAUUCAAUAAUAAAUAACACACAUAUUAAACUCAAGCAUAAAUUUAAAUGUGCAUAAAUAAACAUAAUUGUUUUGGUUUCACCAAAAGAUGCAAUCACGAACAAUUGCUUUGUUUCAUUUAAUCAGUUGCAGUUUUUCAUUUAGGUAAAUGUAGUAGUUCACUUAAAUGAUUUAAAAGAGUCACUUAAAAUCUCUGACAAUUUUUUUUCGUUUAAGUGUGUAAUUAAAGAUUCAAUAAUAAAUAACACACAUAUUAAACUCAAGCAUAAAUUUAAAUGUGCAUAAAUAAACAUAAUUGUUUUGGUUUCUCUUUUGUUAAUACUUAUAUAUUAAUAAAUAAAGUUAUUUAAAUAUGUUUGAACGUUUUUAUCAGAAAUCCGAAAAACAAACCAGCCUAAAAUGCACCAAAACAUCUUAUAUAUAUAAUAGUACGAAAUAAUUAAAUUAUCCAACAAAUCAAAUUAUCCAAAUAUUUUAAAUACAUUUAAGAUUAUUUUAAAAUGUAUAUAAAUAGAUAUGAAAAACUCAUUAAAACCUAUGCAGUUUUUAGAAUGAGUAUAACCAUUUUUAGACAUUUUUAUAACCUAUUAAAUAUCUAUGUAAUUUUUAGAUUAUAACCUAUUAAAUAUCUAUGUACUUUUUAGAAUAAAAAGACACAUCUUCACUCUUCAGACAUGAAAAAUGUAUUUAAUAGAAUCCAAUUCUGAUAUUAGCUGCCUCAAAAGAAAGAGACUCAUCAUGACAAUGGGUCACAUGAAAACAUAUAAAAAGGCCCUUUAAAAUUUUCAAGCAAUCAAAUAUUUUCCCAGCAAGAAAGUAGACCAACAUUAUACAUAUAUGGAUAUAAGAUAUAUAAAAUAUUCACACUUAAGAGUUGGCAAGAUCAUUGCUACACCAUUAAACUAGCUACUUUCUUUAGACGACAAAAAAAAAAACUAAGCUACUU
Brassica rapa (field mustard) is the source of this 6071-nucleotide long non-coding RNA. RefSeq lists it as uncharacterized. The record is from RefSeq and is a predicted model, not a curated record. NCBI's taxonomy places the organism in Eukaryota, Viridiplantae, Streptophyta, Magnoliopsida, Brassicales, Brassicaceae.